GUGAUAUUUAUAUCAUAGUGGCGCACGGGUGCGUAACACGUAUGCAACCUACCUAUUAUUGGGGGAUAGCCUUUGGAAACGGAGAUUAAUACCGCAUAAUACGAUUAACUGGCAUCGGUUGAUUGUUAAAGCAUUUGCGAUAAUAGAUGGGCAUGCGUCCAAUUAGUUAGUUGGUGUGGUAAUGGCUCACCAAGACGAUGAUUGGUAGGGGAUCUGAGAGGAUAAUCCCCCACACUGGCACUGAGAUACGGGCCAGACUCCUACGGGAGGCAGCAGUAGGGAAUAUUGGGCAAUGGGCGGAAGCCUGACCCAGCCAUGCCGCGUGCAGGAAGACGGCGUUAUGCGUUGUAAACUGCUUUUUUAUAGGAAGAAGGAUCCCUUGCGAGGGAAGGUGACGGUACUAUAAGAAUAAGCACCGGCUAACUCCGUGCCAGCAGCCGCGGUAAUACGGAGGGUGCAAGCGUUGUCCGGAUUUAUUGGGUUUAAAGGGUGCGUAGGCGGUUUAUUAAGUCAGUGGUGAAAGACGGUCGCUCAACGAUUGCAGUGCCAUUGAUACUGGU
This 560-nucleotide ribosomal RNA is filed under the name uncultured bacterium. Its description in RNAcentral is "bacterial SSU rRNA". It matches the Rfam family "Bacterial small subunit ribosomal RNA", at positions 68 to 637 of the family's 1533-position model. The record is from RNAcentral.